UUGUUAGUGCGGGUUAUAAAUAAAUUAGUAUUAGUAACUGGCAUAUCCAAGGUUAGUUACAAAAAGUAGUUUAAAGAUAGAAUGACCAACUAUUAGUAAUGGACAUAGAAAAAGCUAGUUACAACUAAUAGGUCAAAUUUGUUGACUAUAUUAAUUAUAAUGGACUUUAUUAAGUUCAGUUACAAUUGCUAUUCUGCACAAUUGCAUAACUGCACAACACUCAUUUUCCGUGUUUUCUUUUUUCUAUUUUUUUUUUUAAGAAAGUACUUCUACUCUUCCUUCCUCCUAAUCAAACUUACCCCUAAUUUUCACAGAACAACCUCAAUUUUCCUUCGAAAAACCUCAGUUUUCCUUUAAAAAACCUCUAAAAUUCCUCAUUUUUUCAUAGAGCAACCUGCGCUCUCUGCUUAUGCAAUCAUGCAUUUCGGAAUCGUCCUAAUUGCCGGAUGAUGAUGAGGAAUUGCAGCGCAAGCCCCAUUUUGUCGAGGAGGCUAUCGGAGGGUGGUUGUCGCGAUUAAAGAACAUUUAUUUGAGCGCGUAGUUUUUCGUUUUCAACCAUUUUAAGGUUCCUUUUUUCCUCCUAUUCUUCUUCCUUUUUGUUUGGUUUAGCUAGAUUUAACUAAUUGACUCUAGUGUUUUCGGAUUCAACUACAUUUUCUGCUUCGUUAUUGAGUUCAUUCUGUUUUUGUUGAUUUUAGUUGUGUAUUGUUUACUCAAAUGAGGUUGUACUGCAUGUGAUUUUAAUUUGUUCUUGUUUUGAAUGUUUUUUGAUUGAUUGGGGUUUUCUGGUUUUUCAUCAUUGAUUUUAGUUGUUAAUUUAGGUGUUUUUGGCUGUUAAGUGCGUGUAAAUAUUAAAGCAAUGGGUAUAAUCGCGACAACCAAUUUGUUGCUGAAAGUUUGGUUUUCACCCUAAAUUUUGUUUUUUUGUUGUAUUUUUGCUGGGAUGAGGUUUGAUGUAUACUAUUUUAGUUAGAUUUUGGGAAAUUGUCGUAUUAAUUUUGUAAAUUGAUUGAUUUUGUGAUUAAAUUUGAUGGUGAAUAUAUGAAUUAUGAUGUUUUGUGUUGAUUUUUCUGGGUUUGUCCCGCCUUUUGAUGGUGUAUAUAUGAAUUAUGAUGUGUUUUUUUGUUGAUUUUUCUAGGUUUGUCCCUUUGAGGUAGGCUUAUGCUGUGCAAUUAUUAAAAGUUGCUCACAACAAUUAUCAAUAUCUUGUCAUAAUACAGAAAUGUAUUCGCUUAUAGUUCCAUUCUCGGGAACUUAUCAAUACACCUCAUUUCAUUUUGAACAUAAAAAAAUUAAUUAAGAAAAUCAUGAAGGCCACUAAUAAAACGGGAGAAGUAUAAUGUAAUUGUGGCUAUGCAUCAGCAUUAAUAGGUUGACAUUUUAGAUUGUAUAGUAAUGAAUUAUUGUUGUUUUAGUGGCAUGUAGAAGUAGCUAGUUUUGUUAGAUAAAAGCUUUACAGUUAUAGUAAGUCAAAGAUAAUAUUCUCAAGAUAAAUUAUUGCACCAUUUUAUAUUGAUAAGUUCCUCACCAAUCUUAGUUUAGUAUCCUCUUUUCUAUUGGCUAGAUGAAUGAUAGAAGCUAAGACUUUAUCCUAACUAUUAUAUUAGCAUGUGUUAAUGAGACCAGCUGCUCAAGAUAGAUCCUCGUAACAGGCCUAUUUGGCUUGCUACCAUUGUAGGGGAGGCUAUCGGAGGGUGGUUGUCGUAGGGAGCUGAUUCCUCUCAGAAGUUAAGGUAUGGUUCAAUGUAUCCCUUGUAAUUAUGAUUUGUUUUGGAGAAUGAACAAUAAAGAAACAAAAUAUACUACUAAAAUGUUGCUGACAUUGGGAAAUCAUGCCGGAAAGAUUAGAUUGUCUGCAAUGAAACUAGGCGGGGUUUUAUUACUUUCCGGUUGCAAACUUGUUCAUGUUAAACUGGAAUUAAAGAAGUUGAUCUACAUUUGAGAUGCUGGGUUGCGAUAUUUUCGAGCUGAUAAAUUGAAGCUUAUAAUUCUUAAAUCGGUGUCUUGUUGAACAAUUUGCUGGGCUGAAAGAUUCGGUAUGGCUCUUCAAUUCAGGUAAAAUCUUUGAUUAUGAUAUAUAUAGUGUCUUUUUUUUUAAAUACUUCUAUGAGAAAUUUUACAAUUUUAAUUAUCACUAUGUUAAGGGAUUUAAAAUUAGCGAAUAUGAACAAGCUUCUAAUUUGAAGAUUUUAGUGCAUGUGACUAGAAAUGUUAGUUUUUAAAGAAUUUUAAGCCAAAAUUUGAGUUUAUUUAGAAAUUUUUGCUUGUGCUAGGGUUGCAAAUUUGUGAUUAAAUCCUAUCUAGAGUUUGAGACACCCUAUUGUCAAAAAAAAAAAAAAAAAAAAAAAAAAAAAAAAAAGAGUUUGAGACACCCUGCUUGAAAACUUAAUUUAUCUAUUUUAUAGAUAAUUUUCAUCUGAUAAAUUCUCAGGAAAAUUUUCGACCACCUAACUGAUUAGAAUUCAUAAAUAUUGAUAGUUCUUGGUUCUUGUGAAACAAAUUUUGCUACUAGUUUCUUAAAAUGUAGGAAUUGGACAAUCCAUUUAAAAUAUAAGCUUGGAGCCAUUCAUAUCUCUGUACUCAGAUCUCUCAUAUAUGUAGUAUAUUGAUGCUAAUUCUAAUAACUUUAGUGAAACUUAUCUUAUUUAUCUUAUGGAAAACUUUGAUAUUUGAAAAAUAAAAGUCGAGAAACAUGAGUGCAUAACUAAAGCUCAUAUGGCGAAUAAUUUCAAGUAUUGACAUAUGAUACAAAUUUAGUGUUUUUAAUCUAAAUUAGCCUGUAUCAUUAUUGCUGAAUUUUCCUUGCAUGACUGUCUUACUUCCCUCUUAACAAGGCAAUGUUGACUGUAUUUUGCUUGAUUUUCUUAUUCCGUUUCUUUUAGAUCAUCUUUUACAACAUUGUUUUAUAUUUUGCAAGUCGCUUAAGUUUGCGUAGCUGUCAGAUCUCUUGUUUGAAUUGAGGACCAUGAUGUUUGGAUAGAUAGUGAAGUAGUUGCGAUUAAUGGUGAAAAUAUAAUGGUCUUUUAUUUUGAUAUAUGGUGAGUGUUAAAUUGCCUAGUCUCAUGGCAUAUAUCUUAAUGUAUAUAUAUAGCUUUGAUUAUAGCAGAAAUGUUUAUUUAAAGUAGGUUUCUAUGAAGCCUCUCUUUAAAACAGUGCACAAGUGUGCAAGUGUACAUGCAUGGCUGCUUACUUUCCACUAGAUUACUUUUAAUGUUCAUCUUUGUUUAUAUGUUUUUUUUUUUCUCCAAUUCAAGGAUUUCAUGUUUAUUUUCAAGGAUAAUUUUUGUCCUGUUUUGUGAUAAUUAGUGACUAAAAAAUGGUUUGUUAGUUGUUGAUUUUGUAAUUUUAUUACUUUUGAGAAAUAUUAAGCCAAAUUUUUUAUUUGAUUGUGAAAUUGUUGCUUGUACUGGGAUUUGUGUAUUAGACGUAGAAUUAAUAUGAACUUAGGUUGCAAAUUUGUGAUUAAGACCUGUCUAGAGUUGCUAACAAUAUAAUAGGUCUUAUCACAAUUGAAAAUCCAAAAAUUAACUAAUCGUAAUGGAGUACAGGCCGCAUCAGGGAAUUUGUUGUUAAAGUGGUGACGCUUAGUCUAGCUUAUCACCCUAAACGUGUGAAAUUAAUUGGGUACUAUGAUGAGGGUAAUCAGAGGUUGUUGGUGUAUGAGUACAUGCCACUAGGAUCCUUGGAAAGCCAUCUACGUGGUACAUAGGCGCCGCUGUGUGUGUGUGUGUGUGUGUUUUUGCUACAGUAGUCCUUCUCUAGCAAUUUUUUUUUCAUAUCCUAAUGCAUUUUUUGUAUUCCCUUGAUAAUGAAUGCUGCAGACCUCCGAAAUAAGCAGAAGGCUCUUGAUUGGAACAAAAGGAUGAAAAUAGCCGCUAGGGCGGCUAGGGGCUUAGAAUAUUUUCAUGACAAGAUGGAGCCACUUGUAAUAUAUCAUGAUUUGAAAUGCUCAAAUAUCUUGCUUGGCAAGGGCUAUCACGUUAAACUGUCGGAUUUUGGGCUGGCCAAAGUGGGUCCAGUUGGAGGCAAUACUCAUGUAUCGACUCGGGUAAUGGGUAUAUAUGGUUAUUGUGCACCAGAUUAUGCAAUGACGGGUCAGCUGACUUUUGAAUAAGAUAUAUACAGUUUUGGAUAUCUAAGAGUUUAAGAGCAAAGUUAGUGAUUAUAAUUAAAAUCUUAGUCCAAGUUUGUUUACUAAAUAUGGAGUGUUAUAAUUAGAAGUACUAUGUCAUUUAGAGGCUAUUGCUUUCCUUUUAAUCCAUUAAUUAUUGUCCAUGAUUCUAUUCUAUGUCAGGGUCCUGGUUUUACUGUCAAAUCAUGUGUUGUUUGAAUCAGGGCUUAUCUCAAACUAUGGGCUGCUAGUGUCUAUCUUAUGGAAUAUAGAAAUAACAAUUAAGCUUUGAUAAAUUGCCUUGAAUUUUUGUGCAUCUCUAGUAAUUAGGUUGUAUAUUUACAAUUAUUGGUCACAUGGCUGCUGUUCUGAAGCUCUUUUGGUAAUUUACAAUUAUAAGUCACGUGGUACAUAGCUUCCUCAGAGUCACACAUUUAUUGGUGCAGGCUCAUUAUUUGCUUCCAAUGAUUGUAGGCUCAUUUGUUUUGCAAUGGUCGGGGAUCAUAUAUUACUUGUAAUGAUGCAGGCUCAUCAGAAUUCUGCUGCAAUUUCAAGUGCUUAGUGUGAACAGCUGUUAUCCUAUACAUAAGAGUCAAAUUUAUGAAGCAGACAGAGACAAUCGACAAAAUUAGCAAAAUUUGAAGGUUGACCAUUGUAUCAAUUAACUGACUAGCUUUUGUUAGCAUUAGAGUAUUGUUUAUUGUGAAUUGUGAGAUAAAAAUUUGUAAUUUACAAGUACAUCAAUUCAAUAUAAUUUACAAGAUGUCAUUUAAAGUUGGUCUUGUAUUGGUUAGAUUGAUAGUUAUUGUAUUUUAUAAAAGUUUAUUAACAAUAAAUGGUCUUUAAGUUAAAAAAAUA
This is a long non-coding RNA of Chenopodium quinoa (quinoa), 4969 nucleotides long. RefSeq lists it as uncharacterized. Lineage: Eukaryota; Viridiplantae; Streptophyta; Magnoliopsida; Caryophyllales; Amaranthaceae. The transcript has 2 exons. The record is from RefSeq and is a predicted model, not a curated record.